GCAUUCGAAACUGGCAGGCUAGAGUCUUGUAGAGGGGGGUAGAAUUCCAGGUGUAGCGGUGAAAUGCGUAGAGAUCUGGAGGAAUACCGGUGGCGAAGGCGGCCCCCUGGACAAAGACUGACGCUCAGGUGCGAAAGCGUGGGGAGCAAACAGGAUUAGAUACCCUGGUAGUCCACGCCGUAAACGAUGUCGAUUUGGAGGUUGUGCCCUUGAGGCGUGGCUUCCGGAGCUAACGCGUUAAAUCGACCGCCUGGGGAGUACGGCCGCAAGGUUAAAACUCAAAUGAAUUGACGGGGGCCCGCACAAGCGGUGGAGCAUGUGGUUUAAUUCGAUGCAACGCGAAGAACCUUACCUGGUCUUGACAUCCACAGAACUUUCCAGAGAUGGAUUGGUGCCUUCGGGAACUGUGAGACAGGUGCUGCAUGGCUGUCGUCAGCUCGUGUUGUGAAAUGUUGGGUUAAGUCCCGCAACGAGCGCAACCC
This 482-nucleotide ribosomal RNA is filed under the name Klebsiella pneumoniae. Its description in RNAcentral is "bacterial SSU rRNA". It matches the Rfam family "Bacterial small subunit ribosomal RNA", at positions 623 to 1104 of the family's 1533-position model. Lineage: Bacteria; Pseudomonadati; Pseudomonadota; Gammaproteobacteria; Enterobacterales; Enterobacteriaceae. The record is from RNAcentral.